RNAcentral lists this ribosomal RNA (254 nucleotides) under uncultured bacterium. Its description in RNAcentral is "partial 16S ribosomal RNA". It matches the Rfam family "Bacterial small subunit ribosomal RNA", at positions 524 to 776 of the family's 1533-position model. The record is from RNAcentral.
UACAGGGGGGGCAAGCGUUGUUCGGAAUUACUGGGCGUAAAGCGUGCGCAGGCGGUUAUGUAAGACAGAUGUGAAAUGCCCGGGCUUAACCUGGGAACUGCAUUUGUGACUGCAUGGCUAGAAUCUGGCAGAGGGGGGUAGAAUUCCACGUGGUAGCAGUGAAAUGCGUAGAUAUGUGGAGGAACACCGAUGGCGAAGGCAGCCCCCUGGGUCAAGAUUGACGCUCAUGCACGAAAGCGUGGGGAGCAAACAGG